This 332-nucleotide long non-coding RNA is filed under the name Mytilus galloprovincialis (Mediterranean mussel). Lineage: Eukaryota; Metazoa; Mollusca; Bivalvia; Mytilida; Mytilidae. The record is from RNAcentral.
CACAAAAUGUAUUGCUUCAUAUUUCUUCACAGUCAACAUAAAAAAGACAAUGUGGUAUGUUGCUAAUGAGACAACUCUCAACAAGAGACCAAAAUGACACAGAAAUUAACAACUGUACGGCCUUUAACAAUGAGCAAAGCCAAUACCGCAUAGUCGGCUGUAAUACGCCCCAAAAUGACAAUGUAACCACAAUUUAAAAGAAAAAACUAACAAACCUUAUUUUAAUAUUUUAAUAUAUAAAAAAAAUGCAAGAUCUAACAAAGCCUCAUACAGACAAAUAUAAUGCAAUGAAGACUGCUACAAAUUUAUUUAUUUUGUCAAACCAUUUACAG